RNAcentral lists this ribosomal RNA (496 nucleotides) under uncultured bacterium. RNAcentral's name for it is "partial 16S ribosomal RNA". It matches the Rfam family "Bacterial small subunit ribosomal RNA", at positions 28 to 506 of the family's 1533-position model. The record is from RNAcentral.
GAUGAACGCUGGCGGCGUGCCUAAUACAUGCAAGUCGAGCGAACAGACGAGGAGCUUGCUCCUCUGACGUUAGCGGCGGACGGGUGAGUAACACGUGGAUAACCUACCUAUAAGACUGGGAUAACUUCGGGAAACCGGAGCUAAUACCGGAUAAUAUAUUGAACCGCAUGGUUCAAUAGUAAAAGACGGUUUUGCUGUCACUUAUAGAUGGAUCCGCGCCGCAUUAGCUAGUUGGUAAGGUAACGGCUUACCAAGGCAACGAUGCGUAGCCGACCUGAGAGGGUGAUCGGCCACACUGGAACUGAGACACGGUCCAGACUCCUACGGGAGGCAGCAGUAGGGAAUCUUCCGCAAUGGGCGAAAGCCUGACGGAGCAACGCCGCGUGAGUGAUGAAGGUCUUCGGAUCGUAAAACUCUGUUAUUAGGGAAGAACAAAUGUGUAAGUAACUAUGCACGUCUUGACGGUACCUAAUCAGAGAGCCACGGCUAACUACGU